GUGAAUCAUCGAAUUUUUGAACGCAAAUUGCACUCUCUUCGGAGAGGAGGACUGUUUGAGGGUCAGCCUAAAAAAAAUCGACGUAGUCGCUGUUUCCCGAUGACAUUCGUCGGAAAUUGGUUCAUCGUAAACCUUUUGGUUUUUAAGCGGCGUAAAAUUUUCGUUACGAUUCCACGAACGUUUCUAAGUUUUGACUUCUUACACACGUUUAAGGUAACGAUCUUUAUUAAACGUGUCCGUUGGAUCGGUUCA
RNAcentral lists this unclassified non-coding RNA (252 nucleotides) under Glomus sp. Its description in RNAcentral is "partial contains 5.8S ribosomal RNA and internal transcribed spacer 2". The record is from RNAcentral. Lineage: Eukaryota; Fungi; Glomeromycota; Glomeromycetes; Glomerales; Glomeraceae.